AUUGAACGCUGGCGGCGUGCCUAACACAUGCAAGUCGAGCGGUAACAGGUGUAGCAAUACAUGCUGACGAGCGGCGAACGGGUGAGUAAUGCUUCGGAAUCUUCCCAGUAGUGGGGAAUA
Molecule: ribosomal RNA, 120 nt
Filed under: uncultured bacterium
Lineage: Bacteria
Description: partial 16S ribosomal RNA
Rfam family: Bacterial small subunit ribosomal RNA
Source: RNAcentral